GAGUUUGAUCCUGGCUCAGAUUGAACGCUGGCGGCAUGCCUUACACAUGCAAGUCGAACGGCAGCACGGGAGCUUGCUCCUGGUGGCGAGUGGCGAACGGGUGAGUAAUGCAUCGGAACGUAUCCUGGAGUGGGGGGAUAACGUAGCGAAAGUUACGCUAAUACCGCAUAUUCUGUGAGCAGGAAAGCGGGGGACCUUCGGGCCUCGCGCUCUUGGAGCGGCCGAUGUCGGAUUAGCUAGUUGGUGAGGUAAAGGCUCACCAAGGCGACGAUCCGUAGCGGGUCUGAGAGAAUGAUCUGCCACACUGGAACUGAGACACGGUCCAGACUCCUACGGGAGGCAGCAGUGGGGAAUUUUGGACAAUGGGGGCAACCCUGAUCCAGCCAUGCCGCGUGAGUGAAGAAGGCCUCGGUU
RNAcentral lists this ribosomal RNA (414 nucleotides) under bacterium enrichment culture clone ALO1_GLFRUDD03FJODC. Its description in RNAcentral is "bacterial SSU rRNA". It matches the Rfam family "Bacterial small subunit ribosomal RNA", at positions 9 to 424 of the family's 1533-position model. The record is from RNAcentral.